This 860-nucleotide ribosomal RNA is filed under the name Vibrio alginolyticus. RNAcentral's name for it is "bacterial SSU rRNA". It matches the Rfam family "Bacterial small subunit ribosomal RNA", at positions 64 to 914 of the family's 1533-position model. Lineage: Bacteria; Pseudomonadati; Pseudomonadota; Gammaproteobacteria; Vibrionales; Vibrionaceae. The record is from RNAcentral.
UAUCUGAACCUUCGGGGAACGAUAACGGCGUCGAGCGGCGGACGGGUGAGUAAUGCCUAGGAAAUUGCCCUGAUGUGGGGGAUAACCAUUGGAAACGAUGGCUAAUACCGCAUGAUGCCUACGGGCCAAAGAGGGGGACCUUCGGGCCUCUCGCGUCAGGAUAUGCCUAGGUGGGAUUAGCUAGUUGGUGAGGUAAGGGCUCACCAAGGCAACGAUCCCUAGCUGGUCUGAGAGGAUGAUCAGCCACACUGGAACUGAGACACGGUCCAGACUCCUACGGGAGGCAGCAGUGGGGAAUAUUGCACAAUGGGCGCAAGCCUGAUGCAGCCAUGCCGCGUGUAUGAAGAAGGCCUUCGGGUUGUAAAGUACUUUCAGUCGUGAGGAAGGCGUUGUCGUUAAUAGCGGCAUUGUUUGACGUUAGCGACAGAAGAAGCACCGGCUAACUCCGUGCCAGCAGCCGCGGUAAUACGGAGGGUGCGAGCGUUAAUCGGAAUUACUGGGCGUAAAGCGCAUGCAGGUGGUUUGUUAAGUCAGAUGUGAAAGCCCGGGGCUCAACCUCGGAAUAGCAUUUGAAACUGGCAGACUAGAGUACUGUAGAGGGGGGUAGAAUUUCAGGUGUAGCGGUGAAAUGCGUAGAGAUCUGAAGGAAUACCGGUGGCGAAGGCGGCCCCCUGGAUUGAUACUGACACUCAGAUGCCAGAGCGUGGGGAGCAAACUCGGAUUAGAUACCCUGGUAGUCCACGCCGUAAACGAUGUCUACUUGGAAGUUGUGGCCUUGAGCCGCGGUUCUCGGAGCUAACGCGUUAAAUAGACCGCCUGAGGGAUUUACGGUCGCAAGAUUAACACUCACAUGAAUUGAC